Non-coding RNA from Ceratotherium simum simum (southern white rhinoceros), 160 nucleotides. The record is from RefSeq and is a predicted model, not a curated record. Lineage: Eukaryota; Metazoa; Chordata; Mammalia; Perissodactyla; Rhinocerotidae.
UAGGGACUCCUAUUCCUGCAUCUAUAAAACUCAGAAUGACCUUCCAGGAGUGUUGAAAAAGAAAAAUGGUGCUUAUAGCUUAAUAUGAGUUCCUGAAGGGGAACGAGGAUUAUGAGUUCAGCUAUAUACCACCUUUCUUCCAGAGCUUACCUAUUCUGUG